RNAcentral lists this small RNA (179 nucleotides) under Arthrobacter sp. RNAcentral describes it as "c-di-AMP sequence". It matches the Rfam family "c-di-AMP riboswitch aptamer (ydaO/yuaA leader)". From Rfam's summary of the family: This family represents a conserved RNA structure found upstream of the ydaO and yuaA genes in Bacillus subtilis and related genes in other bacteria. The ydaO/yuaA element is thought to act as a genetic "off" switch for the ydaO and yuaA genes in its native state. The record is from RNAcentral. Lineage: Bacteria; Bacillati; Actinomycetota; Actinomycetes; Micrococcales; Micrococcaceae. RNAcentral also lists the same sequence under 1 other name.
GCUCUGCCGCCGCCCAUUUCCAUCGAGAAACAUGGCAGAGACGGGGGACCCAAUUUUUGCGGGCCUCCUCAAUGUGGAGACCCUUGGGGUUAAGCCGGUGCAGUGAUUUUCAAAGACUGCGGCGGCCGGAUUCUCUAGUCCGUUCCCGACAGCUCACCUCGCAGGCGUAGAGAGGCUCC